Molecule: ribosomal RNA, 497 nt
Filed under: uncultured bacterium
Lineage: Bacteria
Description: partial 16S ribosomal RNA
Rfam family: Bacterial small subunit ribosomal RNA
Source: RNAcentral
GAUGAACGCUGGCGGCGUGCCUAAUACAUGCAAGUCGAGCGAACAGACGAGGAGCUUGCUCCUCUGACGUUAGCGGCGGACGGGUGAGUAACACGUGGAUAACCUACCUAUAAGACUGGGAUAACUUCGGGAAACCGGAGCUAAUACCGGAUAAUAUAUUGAACCGCAUGGUUCAAUAGUGAAAGACGGUUUUGCUGUCACUUAUAGAUGGAUCCGCGCCGCAUUAGCUAGUUGGUAAGGUAACGGCUUACCAAGGCGACGAUGCGUAGCCGACCUGAGAGGGUGAUCGGACACACUGGAACUGAGACACGGUCCAGACUCCUACGGGAGGCAGCAGUAGGGAAUCUUCCGCAAUGGGCGAAAGCUUGACGGAGCAACGCCGCGUGAGUGAUGAAGGUCUUCGGAUCGUAAAACUCUGUUAUUAGGGAAGAACAAAUGUGUAAGUAACUAUGCACGUCUUGACGGUACCUAAUCAGAAAGCCACGGCUAACUACGUG